RNAcentral lists this ribosomal RNA (497 nucleotides) under uncultured bacterium. Its description in RNAcentral is "partial 16S ribosomal RNA". It matches the Rfam family "Bacterial small subunit ribosomal RNA", at positions 28 to 507 of the family's 1533-position model. The record is from RNAcentral.
GACGAACGCUGGCGGCGUGCCUAAUACAUGCAAGUUGAGCGCUGAAGGCUGGUACUUGUACCAACUGGGUGAGCAGCGAACGGGUGAGUAACGCGUGGGGAAUCUGCCUUUGAGCGGGGGACAACAUUUGGAAACGAAUGCUAAUACCGCAUAAAAACUUUAAACACAAGUUUUAAGUUUGAAAGAUGCAAUUGCAUCACUCAAAGAUGAUCCCGCGUUGUAUUAGCUAGUUGGUGAGGUAAAGGCUCACCAAGGCGAUGAUACAUAGCCGACCUGAGAGGGUGAUCGGCCACAUUGGGACUGAGACACGGCCCAAACUCCUACGGGAGGCAGCAGUAGGGAAUCUUCGGCAAUGGACGAAAGUCUGACCGAGCAACGCCGCGUGAGUGAAGAAGGUUGUCGGAUCGUAAAACUCUGUUGGUAGAGAAGAACGUUGGUGAGAGUGGAAAGCUCAUCAAGUGACGGUAACUACCCAGAAAGGGACGGCUAACUACGUG